GUGCUCACUUCAAUAGCACAUAUACUAACAUGGGAUGCUGCAGAGAUUAGCACGGCGCCUGCCCAAGGAUGACACGCAGGUUCAUGAAGCGUUCUGUAUUUAA
Non-coding RNA from Pteropus alecto (black flying fox), 103 nucleotides. NCBI's taxonomy places the organism in Eukaryota, Metazoa, Chordata, Mammalia, Chiroptera, Pteropodidae. The record is from Rfam.